This 94-nucleotide transfer RNA is filed under the name Clostridia bacterium. RNAcentral describes it as "tRNA-Ser". It matches the Rfam family "tRNA". Rfam says of the family: Transfer RNA (tRNA) molecules are approximately 80 nucleotides in length. Lineage: Bacteria; Bacillati; Bacillota; Clostridia. The record is from RNAcentral.
GGAGAGGUGGCUGAGCUGGCUGAAGGCGCUCGACUCGAAAUCGAGUAGGCAGGUCGACCCUGCCUCGUGGGUUCAAAUCCCACCCUCUCCGCCA